Molecule: long non-coding RNA, 2151 nt
Filed under: Hordeum vulgare
Lineage: Eukaryota; Viridiplantae; Streptophyta; Magnoliopsida; Poales; Poaceae
Description: long non-coding RNA (HVUL_LNC021723)
Source: RNAcentral
GGAAUGUGAGGGUUCCUUCGACUACGUUGGUUCGUGUGCUUCAUGGAUUCGUUCUUGUUCCAAGCGGGAUCUCAGGCAAGAUGACCAUUUCCCUAGAUACCAUUACUACCAAUGCCAUGCUAGUUGUCUUGUUUCUUUCGCUAUGUCUCGCUUCCCACCACUUAAAUGUCAGCCUCCCAACAUUGCCAUGAAAACCUCAAACUCUCCAAUAUCUAGCAAACCUUUGUUUGGCUAUGUUACCGCUUGCCCAGCCUUUUUGAUAGUAUUGCUAGUUGCAGGUGCAGUUGCUCCCAGGAGAUAACAUGAGUUCCUUGUUAUAUCACCAUAUAAUUGCUAGUUAAAGGUGGAAGGCAUAGCAUUCUAGCCUGGUGUUUUGUUCCAUCUUUGCCGCCUUAGGCCCCGUUUGGAACCACAAUAUAUUAUAAUAACCUGGAUUACGAAGAUAUAUUAUAUAAUCUGGUUUAUAAAAAUAACCUAGGUGGACAUGUUUGGAGACCAGAUUAUAUAAACUGUAAUCCAGGUUUUAUAUUGUACAAUGACAUGUAUGCCCUCUGUCUUUUAGCUGCAAAUGUAAUAAUAUAGGUGGGAAUGUUUGAAGGACGGUGGCGGUGGCAGUAGGUAAUUAUCUCCAAGUUUCCAAGGGUAAUGGGUCAUUAGUAAUCCAUAAUCUCAUUUUAGCUGGGGUAGAGUAUAUUGUGAGUUUUUAAUAAUCUGGUCAUAUAGUUUUUAUAAUCUGUAAUAUAAUCUGUCCUGUUUGGAGACAUAAUAGAUUAUAAAAAUCAUAUUAUCUAAUAUGAGUGGUUUCAAAUAGGGCCGUAGUUUCGGCUACCGGUGUUAUAUUCCAUAACUGAGGGCUCGGGGUUGUUAUGGGGACCCCCUUGAUAAUUCUUCUUGGUUUAAAAGUGGUCUGGCAAGGCCCAACUUUGGUACUAUUUUCCUAAUCACUAAUCAACCGUAUAGGGAGUAAUUAACCCGAGGAAACUUAAUCAACAACACGGUCCAGUGCUCCUCAUGAGUGUUGGUCCAAAAAGGGCGGACUGCAGGGCCACCACAGGGAAACUCGAGGUCUGGUUCCUAUCUGGUCGUGUCCUGAGAACGAUAUACGCGGCUCCUAUCGGGUCGUCGACACGUCGGGCGGCCUUGCUGGACUUGUUUUACCUUUGACGAAAUAUCUUGUGCAUCGGGAUUCCGGUGAUGCUUUGGGCUAUCUCAGAGUUGAGGUUUUCCACUAAGGAAUCCUAGGAGAUAACGAGUUUCAUGAUCGAGGCUUUCUAUUCAGCUUGUGGUAAGUUGUGAUGGAUUAGUUGGAGUACCCUUGUAGGGUUGAAUCUUUCUGAAAGCCGUGCCCGCGGUUAUGUGGCAAACUUGGAAACUUUGUUUAACAUCCGGUUCUAGAUAACUUGAAGCAAAUUUAUUAAAAAACUUGCCAACUGUGUGUGUAAUCGUGACCGUCUCUUCCGUGAGCUCCUUCUCCGACUAAGGACACGGUGGGGUUAUGUUUGACGUAAGUAAGUGUUCAGGAUCAUUCAUUUGAUCAUCAUUAGUCACGUCCGUUUACGCGCAGAUCAUCCCCCUCUUAAUCUUGUACUCGUAAGUUAGCCACCUCAAAUAAAUGCUUAGUUGCUUGCUUCAGCCUCACCACUUAAGCAUACCUCACCCAUUAAGCUUUACUAUUCUUGAUACCUUUGGAAAUGAGAUUGUUGAGUCCAUGUGGCUCACAGAUUACUACAACACCAGUUGCAGGUACAGGUAAAGCAAUACUUUGAUGUGAGCGUGAUGAUUGUUCUAUUUGGAGUUUCUUCUUCUUCUNNNNNNNNNNNNNNNAUCUAGGAUGGGUUCGAGGCCGACAUCUUGGGAUAGCAAGGAUGGACAUAGUUCUUUUAUCAUUUGUUUUCGUCCGUAGCCAGAGCCUGCUCUUCUACAUGAUGACUGUAUGUUGUUGUAUUGAUGUGAUCUUGAUGUUGCUUGUGGCGAGUGUAAGCCAAUUCCAUAUACUCAUCUCUUUAGUACAUGUACUUGUAACGAUAUCCAUUCUUGCAAAAUGACGGGAUGUGCUUCUAUCCCCGUCGAGGCCCUCGAGCCAAAAUAAUGAUAGGAUCGCAUCUUGGGCGUUACAUUAUCACUAGACUUAAAAAGGGAAACACUUAUGGG